CUGAAUGUCUUGAUGUCGCUUUUCAUAUUGUUGCUUUAAUAUUUGUAUUCUCAUUUUAUUUUUAGAGAGCGCAGCAAAUAUAAGGAAUCAAAUCCUAUUUAACCAAAAUGAAGGGCCUGAAACUGUUCAGUGCGAGAUUACUGGGAUGGACACUUUGCUUCAUGCCCCAAUCCAGACACCGGUGCAGCAGACUGAGGUAUGUGAAUACUUUCACUCUUUCAUGCUGAGAAUAUUUGGGUCCAAAAUCUAUUGCAUUC
Molecule: long non-coding RNA, 257 nt
Filed under: Chrysemys picta bellii (western painted turtle)
Lineage: Eukaryota; Metazoa; Chordata; Testudines; Emydidae
Description: lncRNA (ENSCPBG00000013422.1)
Source: RNAcentral